AUUGAACGCUGGCGGCAUGCGUAACACAUGCAAGUCGAACGGCUUUUGGUGCUUGCACCAAAGGUAGUGGCGGACGGGUGAGUAAUGCGUAGGAAUCUGUCUUAGAGAGGGGGACAACCCGAGGAAACUUGGGCUAAAACCGCAUAUUCUCGAGAGAGGAAAGCAGGGGACCGGAAACGGCCUUGUGCUCUAAGGUGAGCCUACGUCGGAUUAGCUAGUUGGUAGGGUAAAAGCCUACCAAGGCGAUGAUCUGUAGCUGGUCUGAGAGGACGGACAGCCACACUGGGACUGAGACACGGCCCAGACUCCUACGGGAGGCAG
RNAcentral lists this ribosomal RNA (321 nucleotides) under uncultured Pseudomonadota bacterium. RNAcentral describes it as "bacterial SSU rRNA". It matches the Rfam family "Bacterial small subunit ribosomal RNA", at positions 30 to 351 of the family's 1533-position model. Lineage: Bacteria; Pseudomonadati; Pseudomonadota. The record is from RNAcentral.